Molecule: non-coding RNA, 84 nt
Filed under: unclassified sequences
Description: freshwater-2 RNA
Rfam family: freshwater-2 RNA
About the family: Aquatic, esp. fresh water. No recognized genes
Source: RNAcentral
GUUCGCUCUUAACGGAGAGUUUAUGCAGAAAUCCAACUGCGUAGAUCAUAGAACGGUCUUAAACAUUAAGGAGAAAACAAAAUG